GGGAAACACUCCAACACUCCAACACUCAGACAUCAUUUACAGAUAGCUAGGGGUACACUCCAACACUCAGACAUCAUUUACAAACACAGUAUUUGUGUUUAGUGAGUCCUCCAGAUCAGCGGCAGUAGGCAUGACAACGCGUUAUAUUGAUAGGUGUGUGAAUUGGACCAUUCUGCCUGAGCAAUCGAAAUGUAAGCAGUACUUUUGGGUUUCGGUGAAAAUGUAUGGGAGUACAAAGUACAUAUUUUCUUUAGGAAUGUAGUGAAGUAAAAGUAAAAAAAUUGUCACAAAUAUAAAUAGUAUAGUAAAGUACAGAUACCGCAAAAAAACGACUUAAGUAGAAGUAUUUUUACUUAAGUACUUUCCACCACUGAGUAGUAGACACAAUCAUUUGAUUUUCCAUGUUCAGGAAGUGUUUUACUCAUUUCAAAUCAACUUGAAACAACACAUUUAGUGUCUGUUUGGCUCCCAGACCACAUCUGAGGUCAUGGAAGAAGAAUUCAUGAAUUACCCAGUACUUUAUCAGACUAAAAACAAACAAUAAUAAUGACUUUGGGAUAAUAAAGCUUGAUUUAAACAGGCACUGUGUUGUAAUAUUUAUUUAAUAUCUCUGUGUAAUGUGUGGACUGGCUUCUGUAUUUAUCUAGUAGAGUGAAAUUGCUCCCGAGUGGCUCAACAGUCUAAGGCACUGCAACUCACUACUAGAGGCAUCAAUUACAGACCCUGGUUCGAUCCCGGGCUGCAUCAUAACUGGCUGUGAUCGGGAGUUCUGUGUUUCUACCUGGUUCUCAUGCUGAUGGAGUUUUUAAAAGGACACACAGAGAGAGAGAGAAAGAGAGAUAUGCAUAAUUGGUCCAGCGUUGUCCGGGUUAGGGGAGGGUUUGGCCGUGGUGGGCCGUCAUUGUAAAAUAAGAAUUUGUUCUUAAUUAACAAACUUGCCUAAUUUAAAAAAAGUUUAAAUGAACAAAUAGAGUUAGUUUGGGAAACGUAGGCAUUACAUAUUUCACCUUGUAUUUGACUUUGGCCCUAGGAAGUAAUUACUGUCAUUUAGACAUGAUUGCAAUUAUUCAACAAAUCUCUCUUUCUCUCUUUCAGCAUGAGAACCAGGUAGAAACAGGUAUAUGUGCACACACAGCCUCUCAGACCCAGCCCAACUCAGUGUUCAGCAAGCUUAGUGAUGUGCCUUACAUGGUGUGCCAGAAGAGGCUGUCUCUGGGUGGAUCAAACACAGACCUCUCUCUCUUUGGCAGGUACAAAACCGCCAAGUCUCUGUCAGGUCUCUAGUAAUAACUGACCAGGUCUCUAGUAUUAACUAACCAGGUCUCUGUCAGGUCCCUAGUAAUAUCUGACUAGGUCUGUCAGGUCUCUAGUAAUAACUGACCAGGUCUCUAGUAAUAACUGACCAGGUCUCUGUCAGGUCCCUAGUAAUAUCUGACUAGGUCUGUCAGGUCUCUAGUAAUAAUUGACCCUGUCUGUCAGGUCUCUAGUAAUAACUGACCAAGUCUCUGUCAGGUCUCUAGUAAUAACUGACCAAGUCUCUGUCAGGUCCCUAGUAUUAUCUGACUAGGCCUGUCAGGUCCCUAGUAAUAUCUGACCAGGUCUGUCAGGUCUCUAGUAAUAUCUGACCAGGUCUGUCAGGUCUCUAGUAAUAACUGACCAGGUCUGUCAGGUCUCUAGUAAUAACUAACCAGGUCUCUGUCAGGUCUCUAGUAAUGACUGACCAGGUCUCUGUCAUGUCCCUAGUAAUAUCUGACCAGGUCUGUCAGGUCUCUAGUAAUAUCUGACCAGGUCUGUCAGGUCUCUAGUAAUAACUGACCAGGUCUGUCAGGUCUCUAGUAAUAACUAACCAGGUCUCUGUCAGGUCUCUAGUAAUAACUGACCAGGUCUGUUGGGUCUCUAGUAAUAACUGACCUGGUCUCUCAGGUCUCUAGUAAUAACUGACCAGGUCUCUAGUAAUAACUGACCAGGUCUCUGUCAGGUCUCUAGUAAUAACUGACCAGGUCUCUGUCAGGUCCCUAGUAAUAACUGACCAGGUCUGUCAGGUCUCUAGUAAUAACUGACCAGGUCUCUGUCAGGUCUCUAGUAAUAACUGACCAGGUCUCUGUCAGGUCUCUAAUAAUAACUGACCAGGUCUGUCAGGUCCCUAGUAAUAUCUGACCUCCCUAUUUCUUCUACAGUCCAGCUUUAUUUUCCCUACUACCUCAAACAUCUAUCUGCCAGCAGCAGCACAGCUGUUCAAAUACUGUAGGUUAAAAAACACAACUCAAGGCUGCCUCCAAAAUGGCACCUUAUUCCCCAUUUUCCUAUGUACCCUGUCCAAAAGUACUGCACUAUUUAUACUAUACUGAACAGAAUUGUACGUCCAAAAUGUAAAGUGUUGGUCACAUGUUUCAUAAAAGAUCACAGAAAUGUUCCAUAUGCCCCAAAAAAUUAUUUCUCAAAAAUGUUGUGCACAAAUUAUUUUUCCAUCCCUGUCAUUGAGCUUUUCUCCGUUACCAUGGUAAUCCAUACAGCUGACAGGUGUGUCAUAUCAAGAAGCUGAUUAAACAGCAUGAGGUGCACAGGUGCACCUUGUGCUGGGGACAAUAAAAGGCCACUAAAAUAUACAGUUUUGUCACAUAAUUCAAUGCCACAGAUGUUUUUGAAGGAGAGUGCAAUUGGCAUGCUGACUGCAGGAAAUGUCCACCAGAGCUGUUGCCAGAGACUUUAAUGUUAAUUUCUCUACCAUAAGCCGACUCCAAAGUCAUUUUAGAGAAUUUGGCAGUACGUCCAACCGGCAGACCACAUGUAACUUGGAAACCAUGGCUCCCGAGUGGCGCAGUGGUCUAAGGCACUGCGCCAUAAGGAUUCAUAUAUCCUUAUGUACAUAUUCUUUAUCCCCUUACACUGUGUAUAAGACAGUAGUUUUUUGGAAUUGUUAGUUAGAUUACUUGUUCGUUAUUACUGCAUUGUCGGAACUAGAAGCACAAGCAUUUCGCUACACUCGCAUUAACAUCUGCUAACCAUGUGUAUGUGACAAAUAAAAUUUGAUUUGAUUUGAUUUGAUUAGAGGCGUCACGACAGACACCCUGGUUCGAUUCCAGGCGGUAUCACAAUUGGCUGUGAUUGGGAGUCCCAUAGGGUGACGCACAAUUGGCCCCGCGUCGUCCAGGUUUGGCCGGUGUCAUUGUAAAUAAGAAUUUGAUCAUAACUGACUUGACUAGUUAAAUAAAGGUUACAUUUAAAAAAGUUAAACAAAUAAGUACACGCUGGCCCAGAACAUUGACAUCUGGCUUCUUCACCUGAGGGAUCGUCUGAGACCAGCCAUCCUGGGUACCCUAUUCUGCACCGGGGCAUUAUCUGAGCAGACACCUGUCUACUGUAAUAUACCUGGUCACCCUAUUCUGCACCGGGGCAUUAUCUGAGCAGACACCUGUCUACUGUAAUAUACCUGGUCACCCUAUUCUGCAC
Long non-coding RNA from Oncorhynchus tshawytscha (Chinook salmon), 3450 nucleotides. The record is from Ensembl. NCBI's taxonomy places the organism in Eukaryota, Metazoa, Chordata, Actinopteri, Salmoniformes, Salmonidae.